This 222-nucleotide long non-coding RNA is filed under the name Lathyrus oleraceus (garden pea). Its description in RNAcentral is "Pisum sativum (pea) long non-coding RNA (PSAT_LNC037712)". Lineage: Eukaryota; Viridiplantae; Streptophyta; Magnoliopsida; Fabales; Fabaceae. The record is from RNAcentral.
GUAUUUGACAAGACCUUCAGUCUUAUGCAUACGUACAAACAUAAAAAUGAGGGAUCAAAACCCCGUAGUUCGUGGUAAAAAUUUCAAAAGAAAUUGUUGGAUUAAUUUUAACAAAAGUUUAAAAGAAAAAGGGCACAAAAUGACCAAAGAUUAAAUGAGGUUGUUAGUUCUUUUGUAUUUUUGAAAGUUAAGCCAAUAUGAUUAAGUUUAUUUACGAGGUUG